ACGGGGGGAGCAAGCGUUGUUCGGAUUUACUGGGCGUAAAGGGCGCGUAGGCGGUAGCACAAGUCAGUUGUGAAAUCUCCGGGCUUAACUCGGAAAGGUCAACUGAUACUGUGCGACUAGAGUGCAGAAGGGGCAACUGGAAUUCUCGGUGUAGCGGUGAAAUGCGUAGAUAUUCGCAAGAACACCAGCGGCGAAGGCGGCUGACUGGUCCGGAUCUGACGCUGAGGCGCGAAAGCGUGGGGAGCAAACAGGA
RNAcentral lists this ribosomal RNA (253 nucleotides) under uncultured prokaryote. Its description in RNAcentral is "partial 16S ribosomal RNA". It matches the Rfam family "Bacterial small subunit ribosomal RNA", at positions 525 to 777 of the family's 1533-position model. The record is from RNAcentral.